Molecule: ribosomal RNA, 293 nt
Filed under: uncultured bacterium
Lineage: Bacteria
Description: partial 16S ribosomal RNA
Rfam family: Archaeal small subunit ribosomal RNA
Source: RNAcentral
GUGCCAGCCGCCGCGGUAAUACCGGCAGCCCGAGUGAUGGCCGAUAUUAUUGGGCCUAAAGCGUCCGUAGCUGGCCGAACAAGUCCGUCGGGAAAUCCACGUGCUUAACACGUGGGCGUCCGGUGGAAACUGCGUGGCUUGGGACCGGAAGGCGCGACGGGUACGUCCGGGGUAGGAGUGAAAUCCCGUAAUCCUGGACGGACCGCCGAUGGCGAAAGCACGUCGCGAAGACGGAUCCGACAGUGAGGGACGAAAGCUAGGGUCUCGAACCGGAUUAGAUACCCUUGUAGUCC